This is a long non-coding RNA of Solea senegalensis (Senegalese sole), 700 nucleotides long. RefSeq lists it as uncharacterized. The record is from RefSeq and is a predicted model, not a curated record. The transcript has 4 exons. Lineage: Eukaryota; Metazoa; Chordata; Actinopteri; Pleuronectiformes; Soleidae.
AAGUCUGGUGGCUGGUUGACUGCCAGAGGGGGAAAGAGAGAUGUUUUGAACACAACUUGAACACAAAGCUGCACUUUAAAAUCAAAGCUUUUCAGACAUCCACAUUCGUUCUCUCUUUCUUAUCACCCGGCACAUCUCCAACGACAAGUGUUUGUGUUUGAAAGACAGGAUUUGCUUCCUGUCCUGACAUAAACCCUUUCAGAAUCUCACUUUGGCAGAAACAUUCCCUCGGCUGUUCGUGGAGGAGUCAUCGUAAACACACAUGUCCACGGGAGAGAGGAGUUUCCAUCCCAAGAUCUAAAACUGCUCCAGUCACGCUUCUGCCACAGAUGUUUAAUUGAGAAGCGGAUAAAUGACAGGCCAGGACACGCUGGGGAAACUCUAACCUCCGCUCCUUUGAUCCGCUAAUGGAGACAAACUGAAGUGAAGUGGGACGGUGUGACCACAGUGACAGGCUGCACACACACGUCGAUGAGAGACCGACAGUGGUCGUUUGGUACCUUGGUUCACAGACCAGGUGAAUUUGGACUUGGCCGGGUCACAGAGGAGACAGGGGCUGCUGGGAUUAGAGUCUCCCUCUGCAAAACACAUCCCGUCGACGUUGCACGUCCGCUCCUGGCCAACAGAAACACAGCAGAGCGGACAGAGAGGUCUGACCUGGGUCAUGGACGCUCAGAGCCAGUGGGACCGCACAUCGGUG